RNAcentral lists this ribosomal RNA (429 nucleotides) under uncultured bacterium. RNAcentral describes it as "bacterial SSU rRNA". It matches the Rfam family "Bacterial small subunit ribosomal RNA", at positions 355 to 776 of the family's 1533-position model. The record is from RNAcentral.
UGGGGAAUUUUGGACAAUGGGCGAAAGCCUGAUCCAGCAAUGCCGCGUGAGUGAAGAAGGCCUUCGGGUUGUAAAGCUCUUUUGUCAGGGAAGAAACGGUUGUUCCUAAUACGGAUGGCUAAUGACGGUACCUGAAGAAUAAGCACCGGCUAACUACGUGCCAGCAGCCGCGGUAAUACGUAGGGUGCAAGCGUUAAUCGGAAUUACUGGGCGUAAAGCGUGCGUAGGCGGUUUGUUAAGUCUGUCGUGAAAGCCCCGGGCUCAACCUGGGAAUGGCGAUGGAUACUGGCGAGCUAGAGUACGGUAGAGGAGAGUGGAAUUCCCGGUGUAGCAGUGAAAUGCGUAGAGAUCGGGAGGAACAUCAGUUGCGAAGGCGGCUCUCUGGACCAGUACUGACGCUGAGGCACGAAAGCGUGGGGAGCAAACAGG